CCUACGGGGGGCAGCAGUGGGGAAUAUUGCGCAAUGGGCGAAAGCCUGACGCAGCGACGCCGCGUGAGGGAUGAAGGUUUUCGGAUCGUAAACCUCUGUCAGAAGGGAAGAAAGUGCGUGGUGCUAAUCAGCCGCGUAUUGACGGUACCUUCAAAGGAAGCACCGGCUAACUCCGUGCCAGCAGCCGCGGUAAUACGGAGGGUGCGAGCGUUAAUCGGAAUUACUGGGCGUAAAGCGCACGUAGGCUGUUGUGUAAGUCAGGGGUGAAAUCCCACGGCUCAACCGUGGAACUGCCCUUGAUACUG
This 305-nucleotide ribosomal RNA is filed under the name uncultured bacterium. Its description in RNAcentral is "bacterial SSU rRNA". It matches the Rfam family "Bacterial small subunit ribosomal RNA", at positions 338 to 635 of the family's 1533-position model. The record is from RNAcentral.